UUCAGAAAAGUGUCUGGGAACAUUUGCUGGAUAAUUUUCUAGUAUUGAUAUUUCAGCUGUUUGCAAUCAAUGCUAAUGGGAAAGUGAUACCAGCCAGAAACCAGCACUGAACUGGUCAUUCCUUUUGUAACUCACAGUUAGCGAAGUACAGAAAUAAGCAAACACCAAACCCAGUGGAAUUAACUGCAGAAGGAAAAUUCUUGAUUUUUGUAAUAGAAAAUGAUAAUGCCAGUUCAGUUAAAGGUAUCUACCAAGCUGUGCCCCUUUAAAAAAAAAAACCAACCAACCAAACAGGAGUAUUUUUGAGCAGAUAUAUUGAAAUUCACGUAUUUUAAAUUGGCUUGAGAUUCAGAACUUAUAUUUUUGCAGAGAGUACACAAGGUGAGCUAAAUUCUAGUGAGCUAAAAAUGUGUGUAUAUGUAGAAUGACAUCACCUUUUAUUUCUGUAGUGUCUACACCCCCCACCCUGCCCCAAACCCAUUUUUCCGAUGUUGUGCUUUCAGAUACUGAGGUUUUACAAUAAAAUUGGAACUGAACUCUUGCAGUCUGUACAGCCCAUGGAUAUUACUAGAAGCGAAAAUUUUACGGACGUAAUUUUACUUGCAGGGGAUAAAACUGAUUCACAAAACUUAGGAUUAGGUGAGCUAAUUAGGUGACAGCGUUUGCCUCCCGAACGAAGCGCAGGUGGUCACUCGCUCUGCCCCCCCUGUACCUCGCGAGAUGCUUUAUGUGCCUGACGAGGUGGCGGAGCCUGGAACGCAACGGGAGCUCCUUGGGGCUGUGCCAGCCUCCGUGCCCUGUGGCGGGGCAGAACGCACGUGUACGGAGAGCAAGGCAGGUCUGUGGUUUCCUGCGGGAUCUGCUGGAGAACACUUGUGAGCCUCUCCUUCUCCCACACCUUUCGUUCCUGGGUAACGGUACACUUGCUGUACCUUGAGAAAAACCCGAUUUGGGGUUGUCUCGUGCUAAAUUUCCAAACCAUUGGGUACUCCGCUAUACGCUGUAUCCAUAUUUACUGUCUCUUUCCUUUCCCAAGGAAAAGACUAAACACAGCAGAUAGGAAAGCUGCAGGUUUGCAGCCCCACUUCAAAGUGAAAUAACACCAUUGUGGCUCCUGAGAGUUGAAAGCUUGGAUUUGAUCCUAGACCUCUUUUUGGCUAUGCAGUAUUUAGGGCAACUGCAUUUUUUUUUUCCUUUUUUUUUUCCUCUUGUGGUUUAAAGGUCUAUUCCAAUUAAAGGGUGGAUGUUACUCAUUUAAUAAACAAAAAGAGUAAGACAAAAGGCAUGCAUCUUUAUUGGUAGCUCUGUUCAGGCUGUGGCCAUGUAAAACUGAAGUAGUCCUUCCUCUGUGCCAUUGCUACACAACGUAUUUAUAACGCGUGAUGAACCACUCACUGUGCAUACACUAAUAUGCAUAGCCUAUGCAUCAAAUCUCAGUGGAACUGGUUGUAUCUUCCUGCAUUUUCUGCAAUGUAAUGCUUCUGUUUUCCUAGCAGGAGUAUUCGUGAAAGCAAAACAGGAUCUCAAAUACGGGCGUAUUCAUAAAAAAGAAAUUGCAUACUGGUUAUAGAAUGUGCGACGCAGGCUUCAUUAGUUAUUUUGUGUGAGUCGAGUGUUAAUAUGCCCUAAUUGAAUUUAUUAUGUAACGUAACAUUUAUUGUAUUAUUUGAAUAUAACAUUGAAAACGUGUGUUGGUUUGGAAAGGCACAUUAGUAACCCAAUUAGAGCAGAAGCCAUAGCCAUAGAUUUGCCAGCAAUCAGCAAAGUAUGAUUUUGUUUACAUUAGCUCUGAACAUUCACUGUAAUAAUUAGUCACUGAAUAUUUUUCAAGUUAAAGGUUAGAAAACACAAAAAAGUGAGAAUGGUCUCAUUGGUACACCUAAUUUCCAUAUAAUUAUAAAGUCAUCCCACACAGGCAAUCAGGUUUAUACCAAGCCCGCAUGCCUGGCCGUGUGACCUCCACUGCUGCUGAAGCCCUCCUCUCAGGAGCAAGUCAAGGAGAUACAGUUGUGCCUACUCCUGCACGGCCCCAGCCACCACCUAAAGAACCUGUGUACGCCUUGCUAGCGGUAGUGGGAGUUACUGUGCAUUGCUGCUUCUGCAGGGAGGCCGGCAAACUGCAGCCUCGUCCUUCAGAAAUUUCCAUCUGCGGCUGAGGUCAACGAGAUUGCUUCUCUGAACAUCCGUAUUGCCUGACGGGCAUCCUUCACAUUGCAAGUAAACAAAAAGCAACCUGACUUUUUUACACAAAGCGAGACGCGUGGCUGCAGAUGGGCAGUAACCGAAGAGACUCAGGCGACAUCUCAGCGUGACUCCAAACUUUGUCCAGGACACACACAGGGAAGACAAACCCCAAGAAGUAAAUGUAGUGGCAAGUCGCACAAAUGCUACAGGUUUCACCAGAAACUUCCUCGUAACUGCUCUGCUCUCAGCUCCAGGGGAGAGCAAAGACACCGCUUGAAUUUGGUUAUUGUCCCUUAUUAAUUUUCACUGACAAUUUUUAAUUCUCAUCUGCCAAGGUGUUGGCACGCAGGCCAGGUGAACGUGGCACCUCCUCCCUUCUUGCUGGGGGUCCGGGCAGCUCACACCUUUGCAAUCCUUGCUGUCCCCAGGGGCUGGCUCACAGGGGUCUUGCCGCCUUCUGCCGCUCCUGAACGCCCCUCUCGGGCUCAGGCAGCUGAGGGCCAGUUUGGGGCCGGGGGCUGAGCUCCCUGCCCGGCUGCUCAGCUGGGACACCUGGGUCUGGGCCAGCUGGGAGCCACCACUGCUGGUUUGCAGGGUGGUGCGAAGGGGGUUCUAUCAGGGAAGAUGAACUCUUAAAUCCUAAAUUAAUUGCAUUCUUUCCAGGCUGCCCAAAAAUAAAACCUGGAAACAUGCCCCCCCGCCCUUUAAUAAAUGUAAUACAGCUCCGAAGUUACCUAAAAAGAAAGUGCAAUCUAGUGCAGUGUGCUUUCACCGUCCUGCUCUAUUCCUUCAGUUUCCUUCUGAUUUCUUGUGCUUCAGCCCGUGGCUGGGUAUGCAGGUAUCUGCUUUACCUGCAAAAAUGAAAUACCAGGAGGAACCGCGCUUGGUGCAGCUGGUGCGUGUUUAGGGUUUAAUUCACAGAAGGAGCAGGCUGCCCUGGGGGUGCAGGAUUGGACCAUGCACAAUAAAAGGAAGGAGUUCAGUGCCCAAGCCUGUCAAGUUUAAGGAGUUGUCCUAAAGAAAAGAUAAAGAGCAGGAAGGACUAGGAAGGGCUGCUCUCAAACCUCCUGUGUCCUCCUGGCUCGGUGCUCAUGCAGGUGGGUGACGGGUGCCCAGGCAGUGCAAGCAGGCAGACGAGCAGAGGUUUGCAGCCUGGCUGCCAUGCAUCCUUGAAAAAUGACUUCGGCUCCUGAAUACGAGGGAACUGUAAAGCCAGCUCUUGGCAGAUGCUCCCCAGUGAGACCCAGCUCAGUAACUGCUCUGAACCGUCACACACGGGCCUUACUGAGCCAGAGGGGUCUGGGGAUUUUUAGGGGGCUGGUACAAGCCGAGGGUGUCCCCGUGGUCGAGCUGUGUCAGCUUCUGUGGACAUGUGUGCUGCGAGAAAGAGGGGCACUGGCAGACAACUGGGCAUGCACUUUAUAUGCCUCUGAGGCCAAGGAGCAGCAGAACGGAGUCUCUCAAGGAUCUUGGGAGUAAAGAAACAUUAGACCUAAUUGCACAGAGAAGCCAUCAGAUACCCAAAUCCCUUUAGGGAACCCAGCUCUAGGAGCUAACCCAGCUCCCUCCGGAGUCAACAGGUCCUGGCACUGGCACCACUGUGACCAGCACCACCAAAAAGGCUCGGAAAUUUUUAAGCUGUUAUUACAACAGACGGCGUGUCUGCCUGUGACUGGACUCAGAAGCUAAGUACAGAAAGAGCAGAGGAGGUAUGUACCAUUUCCUAUGACUUCACUGUGUUUCCCAGGCAGGAACAGGUCGUUUGAAAAUGAUUUGCAAACAUGUAUAUAUAAUUAUAGGUGUAAUAUUUAAUACCUAUGAUUAUAAUCAUAGAUAUAAUAUUUAUUCCUUAACUUACUGAAAAAAAAAUAU
This is a long non-coding RNA of Falco peregrinus (peregrine falcon), 4056 nucleotides long. RefSeq lists it as uncharacterized. NCBI's taxonomy places the organism in Eukaryota, Metazoa, Chordata, Aves, Falconiformes, Falconidae. The record is from RefSeq and is a predicted model, not a curated record. The transcript has 2 exons.